CCUACGGGAGGCAGCAGUGAGGAAUAUUGGUCAAUGGACGAGAGUCUGAACCAGCCAAGUAGCGUGAAGGAUGACUGCCCUAUGGGUUGUAAACUUCUUUUAUAUGGGAAUAAAAUGAUCCACGUGUGGGAUAUUGUAUGUACCAUAUGAAUAAGGAUCGGCUAACUCCGUGCCAGCAGCCGCGGUAAUACGGAGGAUCCGAGCGUUAUCCGGAUUUAUUGGGUUUAAAGGGAGCGUAGGUGGAUUGUUAAGUCAGUUGUGAAAGGUUGCGGCUCAACCGUAAAAUUGCAGUUGGAACUGGCAGGCUUGAGUGCAGUAGAGGUAGGCGGAAUUCGUGGUGUAGCGGUGAAAUGCUUAGAUAUCACGAAGAACUCCGAUUGCGAAGGCAGGUCACUGUACUGUAACUGACGCUGAGGCUCGAAGGUGUGGGUAUCAAACAGGAUUAGAUACCCGGGUAGUC
This 460-nucleotide ribosomal RNA is filed under the name uncultured bacterium. Its description in RNAcentral is "partial 16S ribosomal RNA". It matches the Rfam family "Bacterial small subunit ribosomal RNA", at positions 338 to 795 of the family's 1533-position model. The record is from RNAcentral.